Molecule: ribosomal RNA, 494 nt
Filed under: uncultured bacterium
Lineage: Bacteria
Description: partial 16S ribosomal RNA
Rfam family: Bacterial small subunit ribosomal RNA
Source: RNAcentral
GACGAACGCUGGCGGCGUGCUUAACACAUGCAAGUCGAACGGAAAGGCCUGCUUUCCCUUGUGGAUUGCGGGUACUCGAGUGACGAACGGGUGAGUAACACGUGAGUGAUCUGCCCCCAACUUGGGUAUAAGCCUGGGAAACUGGGUCUAAUUCCCGAUAGGACUGCAGGGUGGUGCCUGUGGUGGCAAACGAUUUUCUAGUGGUUGGGGAUGAGCUCGCGGCCUAUCAGCUUGUUGGUGGGGUAAUGGCCUACCAAGGCGGCGACGGGUAGCCGGCCUGAGAGGGUGGACGGCCACAUUGGGACUGAGAUACGGCCCAGACUCCUACGGGAGGCAGCAGUGGGGAAUAUUGCACAAUGGGCGGAAGCCUGAUGCAGCGACGCCGCGUGGGGGAUGACGGCCUUCGGGUUGUAAACUCCUUUCGACCGCGAGGAAGCCACCUGGUUGGAAGGGUGGUGACGGUAGUGGUAGAAGAAGCACCGGCUAACUACGUG